UGCAAGUCGAGCGGAAUUUAUUGGUGCUUGCACCUUAAAUUUAGCGGCGGACGGGUGAGUAACACGUGGGUAACCUACCUUAUAGAUUGGGAUAACUCCGGAAACCGGGGCUAAUACCGAAUAAUACUUUUUAACACAUGUUUGAAAGUUGAAAGACGGUUUCGGCUGUCACUAUAAGAUGGACCCGCGGCGCAUUAGCUAGUUGGUGAGGUAACGGCUCACCAAGGCAACGAUGCGUAGCCGACCUGAGAGGGUGAUCGGCCACACUGGGACUGAGACACGGCCCAGACUCCUACGGGAGGCAGCAGUAGGGAAUCUUCCACAAUGGACGAAAGUCUGAUGGAGCAACGCCGCCGUGAGUGAAGAAGGAUUUCGGUUCGUAAAACUCUGUUGCAAGGGAAGAACAAGUAGCGUAGUAACUGGCGCUACCUUGACGGUACCUUGUUAGAAAGCCACGGCUAACUACGUGCCAGCCGCCGC
RNAcentral lists this ribosomal RNA (480 nucleotides) under uncultured bacterium. RNAcentral describes it as "bacterial SSU rRNA". It matches the Rfam family "Bacterial small subunit ribosomal RNA", at positions 56 to 518 of the family's 1533-position model. The record is from RNAcentral.